Molecule: long non-coding RNA, 3159 nt
Filed under: Sus scrofa (pig)
Lineage: Eukaryota; Metazoa; Chordata; Mammalia; Artiodactyla; Suidae
Description: lncRNA (ENSSSCG00045000669.1)
Source: RNAcentral
CCUAGCCUGGGAACUUCCAUAUGCCAUGGGUACAGCCCUAAAAAGAACAAAAAAAAAAAGGCUUUUUAGGGCUUUUCCAGCUGUAUUUGGAAGUUCUCAGGUUAGGGGUCAAAUUGGAGUUGCAGCUGCAGGCCUAUACUACAGCCACAGCAAUGAGGGAUCCAAACCUCAUCUUCAACCUACACCACAGCUCAAGGCAACAAGGGAUCCCGACCCACUGAGAACUAACUUAGCAAGGCCAGGGAUCAAACCUACAUUCAAAUGUCAGAUUCGCUUCUGCUGAGCCACAAAGGGAACUCCCAAACUUUUGACUUAGUUGAUUUUCUCUGUUAUUAGUCCAUUUCCUACUUCAUUGAUGUCCUCUCUUACCUUUAUUACUUAUUCAUCCUCUCUUUGUUUAAGGUAGAAACUUAGAUUUUUUAUUCUUACAUUUUUCUUAUUUUCUAGUAAUCAUGUAAAGUUACUGAUUUUUCUCUAAACACUGCCUUAAUUACAUCUUAAAAAAUUUUUUGUAUUUUGUAUGUUCAUUAUCACUUGUUCAAAAUAUUUUCUAAUAUCCCUAGUGAUUUAUUCUUUGGCCUAUGGGCUUACUUCAUAUAUUUGGGGUGGGGGGUAUAGGUAUUAUAUUUCUGUUGAUUUCUAGCAAAUCUAUGUGGUCAGAAAAUACACUCCAUAUGAUUUCAGUAAAUUGGCAUUUAUUGAUACCUCUUUCAUAGCACAGAAUGUGAUCUAUCUUAAUGAAGGUUCCAUAUGCAUUUGAAAAGAAUAUUUUCUGCAGUUGUUGAGUACUAUGUGCUAUAAAUGACAUAUUAGGGCAUGAUGAUUGGUAAUGUUCAAGCCUUCUAUAUGUUCACCAGUUUUUGUCUACCUAUUUUCUAGCAAUUCUUUUAUCUUCAUAAAAUAUCUUUAUCUCUAGUAAUACUAUUCCUUUUGAGGUCACUUUGAUGACUAGUAUUUUCACAUCAGCUUUCUUACAUGGUUUUCAACCUUUAUCUUUUCCAUUUUUUUACUUUCAGACUGCCUCUGUCUUGUAAAUAGCAUAUCGGUAGAUCUUGCUUUUGUUCCAUUGUGAAGAUCUCUGCAGUUUACUUGGAGUUUUUAGUCCAUUUCCAAUUAAUGUGAUUAUCGAUAUGUUUGAGUUUAACUCUUCCGUCUUGAUAUCUGAUAUUUAUCUCAUCCAUUUGUUUCUCUUUUCUUCCUUGCUGGCUUUCUCUUAAGGGAAUCGCAUGUUUUAAUAUUUCAUUUUACCUUCUAUAUUCAGAUCUUCUAUACCUUUACUAAUUUUUGUUUCUUUUUUUUAUUCAGUAGGUAAACAUUCUGAGAGAGGGAUAUUCAUCUCCAUAUUACCAACCAUAAUAGUACAUUUAUUUCUCCUUUCACUCCUGUCAGUGUUACUUCUUGUAUUUGAAGUUUCUUUUCAUUAGAUGCACAUACACUUAGGAUAUUUAUGUUUUUCUAAUGAUUUAAUCUUUUUAUCAUAAUAAAAGUCCUCUUUAUCUCUGAUGAUACUCUUUGUCUUGGAGUCUACCUUAGUAGUAUUAAUAUAGCCACACCAGCUAUUUAAAGCUUAUAAUUAGCAUGUUGCUUGUAUUUCCCCCAUCACUUUCAUCCUAUUUGUGUUUAUAUCUAAAGUGAUUUUCUGUAGACAACAUAUAGUUUCAUCUUACUUUUUUAUUUAGUCUAGUAAGUUAUGCCUUUUAAUUGGUGUUUGUCAACUAAAAAUUACAUGUUACAUUAUGUAAUCACUGAUAUGUUUGAAUUUACAUCUACUUCCUUUACUUCUUUUCUGUAUUUUUCUUCCUUUUUUUUUUGUUCCUCUGUUGCUUCUUUUCUGCUCUUCUUGUAGUUUUUUUUUAAUGUUUUUAAUAUUUAUUUCCUUUGUUUACUUUUAAAGCUAUACUUCUUUGCAUUUUAGUAGUUGUUUUAGACUUACAAUACAUAUCCUUAACCCAUCACAGUCUACUUAUAAUUAAUGUUGCAUUAUUUCGUGUAAGCUCUACAAAAGUACAACCAUUUAACUUCGUUUAUUGCUUCCGCCAUCUUUUGUAGCAGUCUUAUCAUAUAUUUUAUUUCUACAUACAUUAUAAGCCCUAUAAUAUCAUGUUGUAGUUCUUAUUCUAGACAGUAUAUUUUAAAGAAAUUGAAAGAAGGAAAAUAUUUUCUAUUUAGCCUCAUAUUUACUAUUUCAGUGCUCUUUACUUAUUAUAGAUCUGAGUUUCCAUCUACUGUUUUUGCACUUAUUUAGAGAGUUCUGGAGAGAGUUUGUGGAUAAGUUAACGAUUGAUAACUAGAAAACUAAGUAAAUACACAAACAAAAAUAUUUGUCAGCUCUGGGAAACUAAGAGUUCUACAGAAAGGAAAUGCAAUCAGAUCAUAUUACGUGGCUCAACUGGGAAUAGUGUUUUUACACUGAAUAUUGCCAUAACCACAAACUCUGAUUCUAUGCAAACUCUGAUUUUAAGCCCUUAAUCUUUCUUAGUGGGAAAUUGAUAAUGUCUAGACAGUGAAAGAAUGCUCAAUCCAAGCCAUAUGAUCAGAACUUGGGUCUGCCAGCCAGCUGUAGUUUCCUGCCCUCACACACACAGAUUUAAUUCAAUAAUGGGAUCAGUAUCACUGCGGUGGAAUCCUCUAGUGCUUACCAAUUGUGUGUUUAGGGCAAAGUACUUAAACUCUGAGGUUUUUGCCCCACUUUUUAAAAUGUUAAUAACUCUGUUACCUUAUAGGAAUGUUGUGAGGGUCGAAUGAUGGAGUAGGUGUGAAUGCAGCUCUCACAAUGACACAUGUGCAGGCACAUACUUCGCUCCAGAGCACAGUAGCUCUCAUUACCACCGCAGGAUCAAUCAGUAGCUCAAACAUCAACUCGUCUAAGUUUAAGGAAACUUGCUUUUUUAGAGAAUCAUUUGGAGUUCCUGUCAUGGCUCAGCAGAAACGAAUCUGACUAGCAUCCAUGAAGUUCGAUCCCUGGCCUUGCUCAGUGGGUUAAGGAUCCAGAGUUGCCAUGAGCUGUGGUGUAUGUAGGUCACAGACAUGGCUCGGAUCUGGCAUGGCUGUGGCUGUGGCCAUGGCAUAGGCCAGCAGCUGUAGCUCCGAUUACACCCCUAGCCUGGGAACUUCCAUAUGCCAUGGGUGUGGCCCUAAAAAGACCAAAAAAAAAAAAAA